Molecule: long non-coding RNA, 707 nt
Organism: Dermacentor silvarum
Lineage: Eukaryota; Metazoa; Arthropoda; Arachnida; Ixodida; Ixodidae
Exons: 3
Source: RefSeq, a predicted model, not a curated record
GUUAAUGUAGAAAUAGUUACCUUUGUGAUUCCAGUGUCAUUGUACUGGUCAUGUUGGAAAGUCCUGCAUAAUAUCCUUGAAGGCUGACAUUGUUUAUGUACCUUGCCAAAAUGUAACCAUUGCAUUUUGCUUUUUUGUUAAUGUAUAUACCCACUCUGUUUUGGUUUUACACUCUCGCUUAAAUUGUUACCUCCCAUGAAAUCUGGCAAUUCAUGGGAAAACCUGCUCGUUUUUCUCAGCAGUUGACACACAGAGGCCGCUUGUAUCUCAUGACGGCAUCGACCUCGUCAUUGGGACAGCAAGGGACGACGGAAAGGUCUACAUUGGAUGCGGCCUCUGGGUCAGCAAGGAGGCUUGGGGGACAUUGUUCCGGGCCACGUCCGAUUCAAUGUUCUGCCGUCUGGCAUCUACAAUGUUUUGGACCCCAGACGAGCUGAAGAAUCGGAGCGUGACCGGAACAAUGUCAAACAAGUCUCGGUCAAAGGGAAGGACCGAGGCCAGACCAGCCCUGACGCCACAGAAGCUGUCGUCCCUAAAAGGCCUCUACCGUACCUUCUUGGGGACCAGUAUAGGGCCAGAGGAAGAGAAAAAAAGAAUGAAGGAUGUGCGGCGGCACCUUGCUCAAAAGCUUGCCGACGUGCAAAGAAAAUAACAAAAUAUAAUUCCUUUACUUCAUUCCUUUACUUCAUUAUUAUUACUUCCUUUAC